CGGAGGGCGUAGCGUUGUUCGGAAUGACUGGGCGUAAAGACGCGCGUAGGCGGAUCGCAAAGUCGGGGUGGAAAUCCCGGGGCGUCAACCCCGGAAUGGCCUUCGAGACUCGUGGUCUGGAGUUCGAGAGAGGUGGGUGGAAUUCCGAGUGUAGAGGUGAAAUUCGUAGAUAUUCGGAGGAACACCAGUGGCGAAGGCGGCCCACUGGCUCGACACUGACGCUGAGGCGCGAAAAGCGCGGGGAGCAAAACAGGAUU
Molecule: ribosomal RNA, 257 nt
Filed under: uncultured bacterium
Lineage: Bacteria
Description: partial 16S ribosomal RNA
Rfam family: Bacterial small subunit ribosomal RNA
Source: RNAcentral